RNAcentral lists this ribosomal RNA (603 nucleotides) under uncultured Phialocephala. RNAcentral describes it as "eukaryotic LSU rRNA". The stretch from base 243 to 395 matches the Rfam family "5.8S ribosomal RNA". Lineage: Eukaryota; Fungi; Ascomycota; Leotiomycetes; Helotiales. The record is from RNAcentral.
CUUGGUCAUUUAGAGGAAGUAAAAGUCGUAACAAGGUUUCCGUAGGUGAACCUGCGGAAGGAUCAUUACAAGUGAGGCUACCGAACGUUGGAAACAGCGGUUAGGAGCUUACACCCACCCGUGUUUACAUACUAUUGUUGCUUUGGCGGGCCGUGGCCUCCACUGCGGGCUCUGCUCGUGUGUGCCCGCCAGAGAACCAAACUCUGAAUGUUAGUGAUGUCUGAGUACUAUCUAAUAGUUAAAACUUUCAACAACGGAUCUCUUGGUUCUGGCAUCGAUGAAGAACGCAGCGAAAUGCGAUAAGUAUGUGAAUUGCAGAAUUCAGUGAAUCAUCGAAUCUUUGAACGCACAUUGCGCCCUGUGGUAUUCCGCAGGGCAUGCCUGUUCGAGCGUCAUUUAACCACUCACGCCUAGCGUGGUAUUGGGGCACGCGGUCUCCGCGGCCCUCAAAAUUAGUGGCGGCGCCGGUGGGCUCUAAGCGUAGUACAUACUCCCGCUAUAGAGUUCCCCCCGGUGGCUCGCCAGAACCCCCAAUUUUUUACAAGUUGACCUCGGAUCAGGUAGGGAUACCCGCUGAACUUAAGCAUAUCAAUAAGCGGAGGA